This 465-nucleotide ribosomal RNA is filed under the name uncultured bacterium. RNAcentral's name for it is "partial 16S ribosomal RNA". It matches the Rfam family "Bacterial small subunit ribosomal RNA", at positions 338 to 795 of the family's 1533-position model. The record is from RNAcentral.
CCUACGGGAGACAGCAGUAGGGAAUCUUCCACAAUGGACGAAAGUCUGAUGGAGCAACGCCGCGUGAGUGAAGAAGGGUUUCGGCUCGUAAAGCUCUGUUGGUAGUGAAGAGAGAUAGAGGUAGUAACUGGCCUUUAUUUGACGGUAAUUACUUAGAAAGUCACGGCUAACUACGUGCCAGCAGCCGCGGUAAUACGUAGGUGGCAAGCGUUGUCCGGAUUUAUUGGGCGUAAAGCGAGUGCAGGCGGUUCAAUAAGUCUGAUGUGAAAGCCUUCGGCUCAACCGGAGAAUUGCAUCAGAAACUGUUGAACUUGAGUGCAGAAGAGGAGAGUGGAACUCCAUGUGUAGCGGUGGAAUGCGUAGAUAUAUGGAAGAACACCAGUGGCGAAGGCAGCUUACCAAACUAUAUCUGACGUUGAGGCACGAAAGCGUGGGUAGCAAACAGGAUUAGAUACCCCUGUAGUC